AAUUCUCAAACCUUACUAGCUUUUGCGAACUAAGGCUUUGGAUGUGGGGGUUUUUGCUGGCUUCUAAUGAGGUCGGCUCCCCUGAAAUAUAUUAGCGGUGCCCUAGUGGACUCUGACUAUCAGUGUGAUAAUUAUCUACGCUGUUAGACGACCACGCGAAUGGUUUAUGCUGCUUCUAACCGUCCGUUUGGACAAUGUAAAUGACAA
This 207-nucleotide unclassified non-coding RNA is filed under the name uncultured Simocybe. RNAcentral describes it as "sequence contains ITS2". Lineage: Eukaryota; Fungi; Basidiomycota; Agaricomycetes; Agaricales; Crepidotaceae. The record is from RNAcentral.